GGAGAGGUGGCAGAGUGGUCGAAUGCGCUGGUUUGCUAAACCGGUGUAGGGACUAAUACCCCUACCGUGGGUUCAAAUCCCAUCCUCUCCG
Molecule: transfer RNA, 91 nt
Filed under: Verrucomicrobiota bacterium
Lineage: Bacteria; Pseudomonadati; Verrucomicrobiota
Description: Verrucomicrobia bacterium tRNA-Ser
Rfam family: tRNA
About the family: Transfer RNA (tRNA) molecules are approximately 80 nucleotides in length. Their secondary structure includes four short double-helical elements and three loops (D, anti-codon, and T loops).
Source: RNAcentral